This is a long non-coding RNA of Chelonia mydas (Green sea turtle), 4538 nucleotides long. RefSeq lists it as uncharacterized. The transcript is spliced from 4 exons. The record is from RefSeq and is a predicted model, not a curated record. NCBI's taxonomy places the organism in Eukaryota, Metazoa, Chordata, Testudines, Cheloniidae.
GUUUACAGCAUCUCCUUGGGUUUUGUGCAGGGCUAUUGUUCUGCUGAUCAGAUCCUUUUGUUUUAGCAGUGAGAUCUUUAGCAUUCUUUACUGCAGUUUUUAGAUUAUUGUUUUCAACUGGGAUUGCCACUUGCUCCUCUGCUUUGAAGAUGGCUGGGUAAAAGAUUGCAUUGCCACAGCUCUUACCACGCUGCAGUUUCCAGGCUGGACUAAGAGCGACUAUGAAGCUCAGGAGUGACAUUCUGAUAUAAAGGUUUCAGAGUAGCAGCCGUGUUAGUCUGUAUUCGCAAAAAGAACAGGAGGACUUGUGGCACCUUAGAGACUAACCAAUUUUUUUGAGCAACAAGUACUCCUUUUCGUUCUGCUAUAAAGUAAUUGUUUUAUCUCUGAUGUGCGAAUCUUUUAUUUUCAUUGCAGCAAACAAAGGAAAUCCUUAUUUCAGAAACUGUUCAGAUGAAUCCAGGUGAUGUGGAUGUGAUCCCUGCUUGUGGCCUGCAGCCUGUGUCAUGUUAGCUUCUAAUUUAAAAGGCACAGAGGGAAAUCCUGGCCCUGUUGAAGGCAAUGGCAAAAUUCACAUUGACUUUUUUAAAGCUAGAUUUCCCUGGUACUCUAACUUUCACAGUUGUGAUGGCUGCAAGAGUCGGGUUAAAAGGCGCAGUCAGGGUUUUUGUAGGAAAUCUAAAGCUUGGAAGUUGUUGUGGUGGAGCUAAUUCUCUGCCGCAUUCCUCUGUCCUUCAGAAUAAUUGUUUUCUCGGAGAAGUCAUCUAUUUUUUCAUAUGCUUUAGAUCUCUUCCACAGCUGAGAUUGCUUCUCUGCUUCCCAUAGCUGGUGUGUGAAAGUAUCCACUCAGAAAGAAAACUUGUCCAUAGCCUGUUGUUGAGUGAUUUGGGCUCCAUAAUAACAGCCAGGUUUUUGGUAGUCUCUUUCAUGAUCCCAUUUAUCCUCUUUGCUGUACCCGUGGCCAAGUCUUCAUCUUGGGUCUCACUGAAGGUGUUCAGAUACCCAGGUGAUGGCUGGGGUAUUGGAACUGGAUAGGUAUAGAUCCAUGUCUGCCCCAGUUUUUUUCUCUCCUCAUGUUGCUUUUCUGAUUUAGCCUGUUAUGCCAACAUUUGCUGGACUUCUAAUUUGUUAUUGUUUCCAAGUAAAAUAUUGCUGUUAGAGGGCGUUUAACUGUUGUAGAAGCAGGAUUCAGCUGGCAGUUCAGUGGGAUACGUGCAGCAGGCAACUUGCAUUAUGUUACUCCCCAUUUUCUUGACUUUAGUGGGACUACUUGGAUGUCGCAUAGGAUCAUCUGCACUGGUGUCAUCAGCAAUCACGUAGCGCCCCAUGGCUGCGGUGCCACAAAGCCUUCCUGGGGCCCUUUCCUGACAUCCCAACAAUGCAGUGGACUGAGGCAGUAGCUGACAUUACAAAGCACCAAAAUUGGCAGAGAAGGAUAAAAUGUCGAAAACUGUUAUAUCCACGUGAAAGAAAAAAAUCGUUCGAUGGCAAGAUCUCCAGAGUGGAAACCGUGUCUUCCUAUAUGUGUGUAGAGACCUCAGCACAUUUUAUGUGCCACCAUCAUAUGGAUAAAUAAUAAUUACAAUUCACAGCACACAGAAACAUCAAAACAUCUGGCAUAGAACUUACUGCCAGAGCCCGGAUUUGCCUGCACCCCUUUUUCUACUUUUAGCAGUACUACACCCACCUAGAAGAAGCAAUCCUUGACCAUGCCAUGCAGACCUCUUUACAGGGUGAGAUUACACAUCGUCCUGAUGCAGAAGCAUUGAAAUUCUCUCUGUUCAAGAAAUCCUCAGUUAACUCUAGUGUGCUAUAAAUGGACCUGGUAACUUGUCAACAUCUUUCAUACAAACAUUCCCAACGCAAAAUGACGUCCUUUACCUUAUUUGUUGCCUGCAAUGUAACAGGUACCCAGUCAGUAAACUAUAUUUCCCAUAAGACCUCAGAACAAACUUCACAGAGUAAAAGGGGUGACAGCUACUGGCUUCAUGACCACGCUAAGCUGCUCCAAACUACAAGGAGGACCCCUAGGGUAAGAAGUAGCAUCCAGCCACACUGGCCAUGCUGUUGCAUCAGCAACCCCCAAUUUGCAAACAACAAACUGAAGUAACUUUGAACAAUAGAUAAAAUGUCACACCACAACCCUCUCAUCAGCAAAAUAGCUUCAAUGGGUUUAUUCAUGUACUUAGAGUGAGGCACAUGCAUAAGAACCAUCUUGAAGUGGGACCAUAGCGAACAUUAAUGAUUCACUUAUCGUGGGCUUUGCAGAAGUGAUGAAGAGAUUUAAAUGAGAAAGGGAGAACGUGAUUAAAAUUAUGUGUCUCAGUCAUGCCAUUCGGGCACAGUUGGAGGCCAUGUGGACUUGAUCUACCCAAGGAGGAAGCUCUCCAGCACACACAAGAAGUAUGCCCACUCCUACACCCGUUCCAGGAGAGGCAUUAUAUUUAUUAUUUAUUUCUGUAUGCACAAUACCCUACAUUAGAUAUGCCUCCUCUGGCCUUAAAGAGUUGAUACUCUAACAAGACAAGACAAAGAGACUGAUGGAGGGUAGGGGAAACAGGCACACCACACAAGCAAAGCAGGCAGGUGGUGAUUGGAGAGGCCCUGAUAAUUCAGGCUGAAUAAAAUAAAGAUAUUUAGACGAUGCCUCAGUUAGGCCCCACCACACCAGAACCAGCCCAUUCAUUUAUUUUAGGCAUCAAUGUAGAAGUGGAUCUUCGGGAGUGUAGAGAGAGUAGUGGCCUUGUGAACCAACAUACUUCCCAUGCGCACUCACCAGCUUUGCUGCUGUGUUGUAGGAGGAUUCUGCCUGCUCCAUGUGCCCUUUUGGAUAUCUUGCCACCAGGGCGUAUGUUCAUUGCUCCAAGCUUGCUGUGCUGGGCUGUAAGGAGAGUCAGGACUUUUUCUACCCCUUUUUUUGCAAACUGGCAAAAAAGUCAUGAAGAUGGCAUAAGCUGAAAAGUUACAAGCUGGAGUUGAAUUUCCAUGAGGUUUGGGGGUGUUUGAAUGUGGCAUUUUAGGUUGGACCUUUCUGUAAAUAAAGAUAUUAUAAACCUUGCUUUGUCAGGCAAUAGACUGGCUCCCCAGAAGCCCGUAAGCGUACUGACCAAAAUUUUCAAGACCAGGAGCCUAGUGUGAGGCAAUUAUUAUAGAAAAUUUUGUCCAGUGUUUGUAAGUCUUUCCCCUAAAUUAUAGUGGAAACUCAAUAAAAAAACCCCAAACGCUGUAGGCUGGCAUGACUGGAGUCUCACCAGUCAGUAACAGGGUCCCUUCAGUCCAGUCGUAUAUAUUUAUUAUUGUUAUACAAAAUACUAACAAUUGCAUACACAGAAGCUUUGAGCUUUGCAAGCUGGUGAUAAAACCUCAGUCAUACAGUUCCAUUUUCUCAUUUGCUUGUGGAAUACCUCUUUCCAACAUUAAAAUUAAAAUUGAAAAGACUUUCUCAUUUUGGAAGGAAAAAAGCACUAUUGGCAAGCUCUUCUCACUGGCAAAUUAAUAGAUAAGGUCUAUCCUGCUAAUGCAAAAUCAAGUGAAAGGUAAAAAUUCAAUCUCUUUAUCACAACCAAGUUAUUUUCUAAACUGGGGAAUUAAUAUACAUUGGAAUGUAUAGAGAGGGAUAGGUUCUCUUUCAAAAAGUGUUUUUAAAGUUUGAAGAAUCCAUAACUAAUAUUGAGACUGGACGUUAUGUAUAACUGACAACCUUCUCUUUUACAUUACUUUGCAUUUAUUACAUUUUUAUGGGAGUUUAUGGAGAUUUUCAAGGAAUUAAACUUAUAUUCAUGAUAGCAGCAUGGGGCUGUUUCUAAAUAACAUUUUCACCGUAUUAACUGUUGCCUAGAUAACAGGCAUAUCUCCUCAAGAGCCUUUAUUCUGGUCUAACACUACAGCCUGCAGAUGAAUACAGUCGUCAUAAGACAGCAAGCUAUAUCACUUACCAUUUCAUUAUUGUUCAAAUCAAAAUCCAUACUUUCCAGUUUUCCCUAGCAUUACAGACUGGAUAGGGAAGCUUUAUCAUUCUGCAAAAUAAUCUCUCGUGGCUCCUUCUCAUUGGUAUUAAGAGGAACAGGUAAUCACAUUACACUAAUUUUCAUAUUAAUCAGUACAGUGCAAGAGAGAGUUAAUAGUUUUCAUCUAUGUUCAACCUUGCAACACUGUUUUUUUUGUUUUUGUUUUUUUUGGAGCUACAUUAGCACACCAGAUUUCAUGUCCUAUUCAAUACAUAAACCAGGGUCAAACCAACAGCCCAGCCUUAUACUUUUAAUCAAAAUGGCAAUCUGUCACCAAUUUGUGACUUAGGAUAAUUUUUAAAUAGAUAAAGGUGGAUGCACACUAAAUUUUUAUGGCAAAUAAAAAGGAAAUCUUUCUGCAGCAUGGGAGAAAACUUUGGAGUACUGUACAAAUGCUUGGUGCAUUCUCUAGAACCUAGAAUAUCAGGGUUGGAAGGGACCUCAGGAGGUCAUCUAGUCCAACCCCCUGCUCAAAGCAGGGCCAAUCCCCAAUUUUUGCCAAGAUCCAUAAAUGGCCCCCUCAAGGAUUGA